This 155-nucleotide non-coding RNA is filed under the name Chromera velia. Lineage: Eukaryota; Chromeraceae. The record is from RNAcentral.
UUUUUGUCUUUUUCCUUCUUGCGUGUUUUCUUUCUCUUUCUGUUUUUACUUUUUGGUCGCCCAUUAAUUCCUUUUUGAAAAGAAAAACAAAGGCCCCUCUCUUCUCUUCUUCUCGUCGAAGAGAAAAGAAAAGAGAAGUAAGGAAAGUCAAUUUG